UCUUGGAACCAUGGAUCUACGAUU
RNAcentral lists this non-coding RNA (24 nucleotides) under Rattus norvegicus (Norway rat). The record is from RNAcentral. Lineage: Eukaryota; Metazoa; Chordata; Mammalia; Rodentia; Muridae.